AAUGAACGCUGGCGGCGUGCUUAACACAUGCAAGUCGAGCGAGAAAACCCCUUCGGGGGCUAGUAAAGCGGCGAACGGGUGAGUAACACGUAAGAAUUUACCCUUUAGUGAAGAAUACCUUCGAGAAAUCGAAGUUAAUACUGCAUACGUCCCUUCGGGGAGAAAGGUGGCCUCUUGCUGCCGCUAAAGGAUAAGCUUGCGCGCUAUUAGUUUGUUGGUGGGGUAAAGGCCUACCAAGACUAUGAUGGCUAGCCGGCCUGAGAGGGUGUACGGCCACAUUGGAACUUAGAACGGUCCAGACUCCUACGGGAGGCAGCAGUGGGGAAUAUUGCGCAAUGGGCGAAAGCCUGACGCAGCGACGCCGCGUGGGGGAUGAAGGCCUUAGGGUCGUAAACUCCUGUUAAGUGGGAAGAAAAGCUCAUCGUUAAUACCGAUGAGAAAUGACUGUACCAUUAGAGAAAGCACCGGCUAACUUCGUGCCAGCAGCCGCGGUAAUACGAGGGGUGCAAGCGUUAUUCGGAAUCAUUGGGCGUAAAGGGUGUGUAGACGGCAUAUUAAGUCAGUUGUUAAAUUUUCCGGCCUAACCGGAAGUCUGCGAUUGAUACUGGUAAGCUAGAGGGUGAGAGAGAGAAGUGGAAUUCUCGGAGUAGCGGUAAAAUGCGUAGAUCUCGAGAGGAACACCGAUGGCGAAGGCAGCUUCUUGGUUCACUCCUGACGUUGAGACACGAAAGCGUGGGGAGCAAACAGGAUUAGAUACCCUGGUAGUCCACGCUGUAAACGAUGAUCACUAGACGUCAGCUUUGCUUAGCAGGGUUGGUGUCGCAGCUAACGCGAUAAGUGAUCCGCCUGGGGACUACGGUCGCAAGAUUAAAACUCAAAGGAAUUGACGGGGGCCCGCACAAGCGGUGGAACAUGUGGUUUAAUUCGACACUACGCGAGAAACCUUACCUAGGCUUGACAUGUGUUUGACAGCUGUAGAAAUACAGUCUUCCGAGCUUCGGUUCGGACAUGCACACAGGUGCUGCAUGGCUGUCGUCAGCUCGUGUCGUGAGGUGUUGGGUUAAGUCCUUUAACGAGCGCAACCCUUGCUGUCAGUUGCUACUCUUCGGAGGCACUCUGGCAGGACUGCCUGGGAAACCAGGAGGAAGGUGGGGAUGACGUCAAGUCAUCAUGGUCCUUAUGCCUAGGGCUACACACGUGUUACAAUGGCCAGUACAAAGGGCUGCAAACCUGCAAAGGUAAGCUAAUCCCAUAAAGCUGGUCUAAGUUCGGAUUGAGGUCUGCAACUCGACCUCAUGAAGUUGAAAUCGCUAGUAAUCGCGCAUCAGCUACGGCGCGGUGAAUACGUUCUCGGGCCUUGUACACACCGCCCGUCACACCACGAAAGUUGUCUGUACCCGAAGUUAUUUUAGCUAACCCGUAAGGGAGGCGGAUACCUAAGGUAUGGGGGAUGAUUGGGGUG
Molecule: ribosomal RNA, 1462 nt
Filed under: uncultured bacterium
Lineage: Bacteria
Description: bacterial SSU rRNA
Rfam family: Bacterial small subunit ribosomal RNA
Source: RNAcentral